Unclassified non-coding RNA from Spermophilus dauricus (Daurian ground squirrel), 283 nucleotides. It matches the Rfam family "Metazoan signal recognition particle RNA". Rfam says of the family: The signal recognition particle (SRP) is a universally conserved ribonucleoprotein. It is involved in the co-translational targeting of proteins to membranes. The record is from Ensembl. Lineage: Eukaryota; Metazoa; Chordata; Mammalia; Rodentia; Sciuridae.
GCCCAGUGCAGUGGCACACCUGUAGUCCCAGCUACUCGGGAGGCUGAGGUGGGAGGAUCUCUUGAGUCCAGGAGUUCUGGGUUGCAGUGGGCUACACUGAUUGGGUGUCCACACUAGUUACACAUGGCUAUGGUGACCUCCCGAGAGCUGGGGGCCACCAGGUUGCCUAAAGAGGGAUGAACUGAUCUAGGUAGGAAACAGAGCAGGUCAAGAAACACGAUCUUCUAGUUAUAGCACAUCUGUCUCCAUGGCUGAGUGUCCAUUGCAGGGGGACCCUCACUGC